CCCUGAACCGUUUUUUCACGGCAUGAGCAAAGCAGUAAAGGUGACUCAUUGUGUCCAGCGGGCCUUGAACCCGCAUGUUCCGUGACGAGGGCAAACAGAUGGAAUAAAUGCUAGUGUUGAUAAGAGGUGGUGAGGAUUUGGAUCGAUUUCAGAAGAUGUGCUCUCAGUACUACGGCGCGUUAGGGCUGGAAGGACCCUUAGAAGCCACCUGGCCCCCGAUUCCGGGAUGGGCCCCAACGCACAUAGCUCCGUGGGCUUCUCCCGGAGGGGUCAGUGGUCCCGCGGAAGGUUUUAUGGAGAUUACUUCCGUAACUUUGGGGAGAGAAGAGAGAAGAGCAUAGGUGUGUACCUGUUAGUGUGGGGGGAAGGUUAUCCGCCUUGGAGUGCCGGAGGGUAAUAAAGACAACUCUAAGAGACACGAUUUGAGGAGAAGGUAAGUUUGCACCUUGUGUUUGUGGGGUUGCCUUGCAGUUGUGGACUGGCAAUACUGUUUCUGAAAUCUGACAGCUCAGUUCCUAUAGGGACCCAGGCUUGAACUGCCUGCUCGUCCCUGAAGUCUUGGCAUAGGCAUCACUUUCUCAGAGAUCACUGGAUCGUAA
RNAcentral lists this long non-coding RNA (599 nucleotides) under Dasypus novemcinctus (nine-banded armadillo). RNAcentral describes it as "lncRNA (ENSDNOG00000050496.1)". Lineage: Eukaryota; Metazoa; Chordata; Mammalia; Cingulata; Dasypodidae. The record is from RNAcentral.